CAAUAGCGUAUAUUUAAGUUGUUGCAGUUAAAAAGCUCGUAGUUGGAUUUCGGAUGGGACUUGCCGGUCCGUCGUUUCGAUGUGCACUGGCCAGUCCUAUCUUGUUGUCGGGGACUAGCUCCUGGGCUUCACUGUCCGGGACUAGGAGCUGACGAGGUUACUUUGAGUAAAUUAGAGUGUUCAAAGCAAGCCUACGCUCUGAAUACAUUAGCAUGGAAUAACACGAUAGGACUCUGGCUUAUCUUGUUGGUCUGUGAGACCAGAGUAAUGAUUAAGAGGGACAGUCGGGGGCAUUCGUAUUUCAUUGUCAGAGGUGAAAUUCUUAGAUUCGUUGAGGACCAACCACUGCGAAAGCAUUUGUCAAGGAUGUCUCCAUUAA
Molecule: ribosomal RNA, 379 nt
Filed under: uncultured eukaryote
Lineage: Eukaryota
Description: partial 18S ribosomal RNA
Rfam family: Eukaryotic small subunit ribosomal RNA
Source: RNAcentral